This 635-nucleotide ribosomal RNA is filed under the name Variovorax sp. So3Ps_1915. Its description in RNAcentral is "bacterial SSU rRNA". It matches the Rfam family "Bacterial small subunit ribosomal RNA", at positions 381 to 1010 of the family's 1533-position model. Lineage: Bacteria; Pseudomonadati; Pseudomonadota; Betaproteobacteria; Burkholderiales; Comamonadaceae. The record is from RNAcentral.
GCCUGAUCAGCCAUGCCGCGUGCAGGAUGAAGGCCUUAGGGUCGUAAACUGCUUUUGUACGGAACGAAAAGCCUCCUUCUAAUAAAGGGGGGUCAUGACGGUACCGUAAGAAUAAGCACCGGCUAACUACGUGCCAGCAGCCGCGGUAAUACGUAGGGUGCAAGCGUUAAUCGGAAUUACUGGGCGUAAAGCGUGCGCAGGCGGUGAUGUAAGACAGUUGUGAAAUCCCCGGGCUCAACCUGGGAACUGCAUCUGUGACUGCAUCGCUGGAGUGCGGCAGAGGGGGAUGGAAUUCCGCGUGUAGCAGUGAAAUGCGUAGAUAUGCGGAGGAACACCGAUGGCGAAGGCAAUCCCCUGGGCCUGCACUGACGCUCAUGCACGAAAGCGUGGGGAGCAAACAGGAUUAGAUACCCUGGUAGUCCACGCCCUAAACGAUGUCAACUGGUUGUUGGGUCUUCACUGACUCAGUAACGAAGCUAACGCGUGAAGUUGACAGCCUGGGGAGUACGGCCGCAAGGUUGAAACUCAGAGGAAUUGACGGGGACCCGCACAAGCAGUGGAUGAUGUGGGUUUAAUUCGAUGCAACGCGAAAACCUUACCCACCUUUGACAUGUACGGAACUUGCCAGAGAUGGC